GCAGGUAUGCAGGCCCCAGCUGCCAUAGGGGAACCCUUACCCCAUCUCACCUGUGCCUGGCAAAUAACUCACCUCUCAGGCUCAGCCCAGCUGCCUUCCUCAGCUUGAGGUAUUUGUUUCCUGUCCUGGGAUCUCUGUGUACUGGACUCUUGCCUGCCGUUUAGCACUUUUCUCUGUCAGCUCCAGUCUUACUUCUUCCUGGAAGUAUUGCAUAAUUACUCCAGCCAGAGAUUCUGUUUUCCUCUGAGCUACAGAAGCACUGACACUUGGUACCACUCACUCAUCAUGGACAGACUGCCAGCAGUCUGGGACAUCCUCUGAAAGUAUAAAGGUUGACCUGAACAGAGAAGAGAGAAGAAGGGAGAAGGAGGGACAGAGAGCAAAGGACGGAGAGAAUGAGAAGCAAGUGAGUAAGAAUGGAGAUGGAGAAGAGGAAACUGAAUAAGUUCCUGUGCAUAGGAGGUACAGGGAUCCAGAAAUGUGCCCCUCUGUGCCUUUGAGGAUUUAGAAAAGACAGAGAACAAAAGACUUGCUUUCUGGAACCCAUAUAAGCCUUGAUAUUUUAUGUUCUGCAACACUGUUGGGCUUUCUGGUCUCCUGCAUUCUUGGCUACCAUAAACUGAGUGCUCGCCAUGUUCCAGGUCAAGUCCAGGAUGGGUGUUCCUGAUUGAUAGGAAGCUCUCCUCCAGCUGGAGCCUGCAUGGAGGAGGUGACAUCUAAGUUGGAAUGUGAAGGGUGAGGAGUUUUUCAUGCAGAGGAGAGGAGCACAAACCUUUCAGUACUGAAGGAUUCAGGACCAUGGCCAGCACCGAAGCAGCCUACAAAUUCUGAAAUAAGCUUAGAGUCUUAGCCAAAGAGAUCAGCACUGCCUUUAACCUUCUUCCCUGCCUUUCCCAUUUGGCCAAGUCUUACUGAUCCUUCAACUCAGAUGCCACCACUUCUGGAAAACCUUCCUGGAGACCCACACAGAGGGAGCUUGGCGUGAGGGAAGAGGGCUGAGUCUGCUGCCUCUGGAUGGAGUGAGAGCUUCUCAAGUGGCUGUGUCUUGCUUUAGAGAUCUGGUGUGCGUGUAGGGAGUAGAGCAGGAGAAGGGCAGUCACACGGCACGUCAGAAAUCAUUAGGAAUGAUGAAGGUACAAAUGGAAGCUGGCUCAAAUUCCAUAAUCGUGACCAGGACCAACAUGUACUAGACAUUCACUAUGUGCUCCCCCAAGUGCUAAAUCAUUGAAUCCUUUCAACAGUCUGAUAAGGUAGAACAAAGGCAGUGAAGGGUGUAGGGAUAUUAUACAGCUGUGCUCCAUGAGCAUGUGUUAAGGCUGUGGAAUGGAUCCUGGCAGGAUGACCUCAAAUUAAGAUUUUAAUGACUCUUCCAUUUAGAAGACACACUCUUUCCAUUAAUGCUGCCUUGUCAGACUGCUCCAGCUCUGCAGUCUCAACGCUGAGGUGCUGUGCAGUCGACUCAGACUUGGGAGUCAAGCCCCAGCUGGAGACUUGCCAGCUGUUUCAAGUUACUUAAUCUCAUUGAGCCUCAGUCUUACCAUCAGUGAAAUGAGGACAGUGCUAUCCACCUCUCCCAGAUUGCUGGAGGACAAAGUGAGAGAAUGUAGAGGACAGCACACAGCCUGACAGGAGAUGCUCUGCAAGCAGUGACUUCCUUUCUUCUGAACAAGUCACAAAUAUGCUUAUAAAUGAAUAACCGACGCUAAAUGUAUCACAAUGCCAAACAUAAUGCCAAAUGUACCAGCUUGUUAUCAAUCAGUGCAGUGUUCGUCACUUUAAAGUACCAGUGAUUCACCUGGGGAUCUGGUUAAAUAUAGAUUUGCAUUCAGCCCGAGAUUCUGCAUUUUAACAAGCUCCCAGAUGAUGUGGAUACUGCCGGCAGGAGCCCACACUUUUACUCGUAUGGAACUAGGGCAAUGACUUUUGAAUACCGAAUUGACUUUGAGAGACUGGGCUAAGUUGCAAAACACAAUUUUACUCUACCUUUUUUUUUUUUUUGCGCUUGUUUAAUGAUAAAAUUACUGGGGAAAUUUGAAGAUGCUACAAAAAAAGUUUGAACACAUUUAAAAAUCUGGGAAGCUCAAAUCCAUUCUACACACUUUCAUUUAUUGUCUGGACAGAUAAAGUACAAAUAAUUCAAACACAACAAGAUUAUGAAAAAAAAAACAUUUACAAUACUUUCCCUCAGAAAUCAUCUAAACUAGCAAGAUUAACAUGAAGUCAUUCAUUAUAACUAAAGUAUACAACUGCCUGGUCCUAAGAUUUUUUUUCCUUUUUUUUUCCCCCAAGAGUGAACACAUUAUAGAGAAGAGAUUUUGGCACGCCUUUCCCACUAAUGCUUAGCAAAUGCAUCAAAACUUUGCCAGCAAACUGCGUUCAUUCAUAGCAGGUGAUGUAAAAAGUUUUCCCUGAAUGUUGAACGAGUGUUCUCUGAACUGAAAUCUGGUGUUUUUUUUUUUUUUUCAAAACCGAAAAGAGGAAAAAAAAACAGAAAAAAAAUUUAAAGGAGGA
This is a long non-coding RNA of Felis catus (domestic cat), 2511 nucleotides long. RefSeq lists it as uncharacterized. The transcript has 12 exons. NCBI's taxonomy places the organism in Eukaryota, Metazoa, Chordata, Mammalia, Carnivora, Felidae. The record is from RefSeq and is a predicted model, not a curated record.